This 236-nucleotide ribosomal RNA is filed under the name uncultured bacterium. Its description in RNAcentral is "partial 16S ribosomal RNA". It matches the Rfam family "Bacterial small subunit ribosomal RNA", at positions 219 to 454 of the family's 1533-position model. The record is from RNAcentral.
UAUUGGAGCGGCCGAUGUCAGAUUAGGUAGUUGGUGGGGUAAAGGCCUACCAAGCCGACGAUCUGUAGCUGGUCUGAGAGGACGACCAGCCACACUGGGACUGAGACACGGCCCAGACUCCUACGGGAGGCAGCAGUGGGGAAUUUUGGACAAUGGGCGCAAGCCUGAUCCAGCCAUGCCGCGUGCGGGAAGAAGGCCUUCGGGUUGUAAACCGCUUUUGUCAGGGAAGAAACGCU